UGGGAAAGGGGAAACUCGUGCCUGGAGGCUCAUAAAACAGCCAGAUUUUCGGACAGUCUUUAGGGAUGCUGGGGAGUGCCGCCAUCCCCAAAUUCCUGCUGAAGGAAGGUACAUACAACCUGGGCAUCUCUCAGCUCGGUGGCUGCCCAUCCCCACACUGCAGUGGGGCGUCAGGUCCCUUCCGUGACCACUGAUGGGACGCAGGUGCCACCCACCAGAGUGUGUGUCCCCUCCCUGCCACCAGCAUCCCGCCGCCCAGCCGGGUACCACGAACGGCGCUGGGGACGAGGACGCGUCCCCAGCCUCGGGCCUCGCUCCAGCUGGGCGCUGUUUUGUAAGGACUCCUGGGCCUCUGCGGCGGAGAGAUAAGCCCAAGAAUUCGCCGUCAGUUCCAAAUAUCCCGUCCGCUUCCUCCCGCCGUCCUCGCCGCCGCUCCAGCCCGCUUGUCUCAUUUCCGCAGCAGCGUGCUGGGGAGCGCUUCCUGUUUUCCCCCCGGCCCCGGGGCGGCGGCGGGGGCCGAGGGGCGCGGGGAGGAAGGGCAGGACAAUGGGAGCAGGGCUUUUCUGUAAAUCAACCCAAGCUCCCUAGAGAGCAUCGUCUUUGUGCCGCAGUGGGAGCCCCUGCUCCAGCUGGGCAUGAGGACGGGAGUGAAGCCGGGUGGAGCACAGCCCUGGGAGGGGGGACCCUGCCCUUCAUGGGGCAGUGUGUCUCCUCACCGAAAAUCGCAUUUUAGGGUCCCUCCAGUCAAACCACCCACCACAACCUUCUUCUCCCCAGCCUCAGCACGGGAGAGCAGCAUCCCCACGGGACUGCCACCUCCCAGGAGCUGUGUCACGGGGCAGGAGGUCAGGAUGUGGCUACCCCAUCCCAAACUGCAGCUUUGAGACGAGGAGGAUCCAUUUCGGAGCUCUGCUCACUUGGAGCUCAGCGACCUCCUGCCACAGCGUGGCAGGAGUUAUUCAAAGGAGGGCGGAAGCGAGCGCAGCAACUGAAACAACAAUGAAAAGGAAACAGAGCUCGAAAAAUUCUCCGUUCAUAAAUCAACUGAACUGCAGGUGAUCCCUGGGCAGGAGCGAGCUGAGGAAGAGACACGGCUCGGCUCGGCAUGGCCAGCAGCCAGGCAGGCUCCGGCCCCCCAGGCAGGGAUGGGGGAGGCCGGGAUUUCCCAGGGUGGUCCUGAGUGGUGCUGGGAUCCGUGUCCAUGUCCCCGGGGCUGCACAUCAGGGACUUUGAGGCAGGAAAUAGAGCUGCUGGAUUGGGAUGAGCUCCUCAGUGCUGGCAGCAUCUCUGCAUGGGCAGGGGAUGGGCAUGGUUGGAAAAAAAUCUCCCCCUCCUGCCUCCAGUUGUGUCCUGCAGCAUCUUGCUGCAGGCAGGACGGGGGCCAGUUUGGACAAACCUAGCUGUCCCCUCCUAGCUGUGUCCUCUGCCAGCUCCUGUAAGCUGAGACCCAGUCCUGGGGACACCAAAAGGAAUUUAUGCUUUUGGGACCAGUGGAUGGCCCCAAGGACCAGGCUGGUGGCAGUGGGCUGACCUUACAGCAGAGGAAAUGAUCCAGUUGUGUUCCCCGCACUGGGAAAGCCAGGAGAGAUUGCAUGUCCCCUUCUGCUGCUAUCCGUCCUCCCUCCUGUGAAUUCCCUGUCAUCUUGUCUUUUGGCAGAGCUGGAAAACUGGGAGACCACCGUAAAUAAAUCCUGUGUCUUUAAGCCGUUUUGUACAGUACAAGAAAAUGCACUCGUUGAAUUACAGCUUUUUAAUCAAAUACAUGUAACCAUGUCACUUAAAGUGCUCGCGAAAAGCAAGGAAAAAAAAAACCCAACACAAUUGGAAGAGUACGAUAUUAAAACCAGCUGCCUGCUUACCCCCACCACAGUUAAUAGUUUUUGAAUGUUCUGAAUGAGAGAGAAACCAGAGCCAAGCUCCACUUUCAUGUCCAUCUUUCUGAUCAAGCCCUGUCAGACGGGGGGGCCGGGCAGCCUGGCACAGAGGCGGGGGAUGCGGGAGGGCUGCACUCCCUUGUCCUGCUGCUUUGCCCAUCCCUUCGGGCUUUCUCCCUGUGCUGAUGGGAUGUGAGAACCCGUCUUCCUGCCUGCCUGGGACCCAACCUGGAGAUGGGAGCACAGGUUGCCCAAGUCAUGCAGAGGUGAGGGAUGCUGCUCUGUGACAUCACCAACACGUUAUGUGUCCCCUCCUGACCAAAUUUUACCCAAUUCUACCUCUUGAUGCUUCUUCCUGCAAGCUGGCAUCACCGCUCAUCCCCCAGAGGCACUGCACUACCUACAGCAUCCCUUCCUCAGAGCAUGCCAGCACAGUCCAUGGUGUCACAUCCCUGUGCCCCAUUCCCUUGGGACACACAUGCCAGGACCACCUCAACGCCUGCCUCCAGCCUCACCGGCCACCGACCCCCCGGCCAGCACAGCCUGCCAACCACCCGAGCUGCGCAGUUCCCCCGCAACGUGGACCAACGCUCAUUAAGCAUGAGGCAGAGACCACCAAAUAUGUCAAAACACACUUAAAAUUUAUUGUUUCAUACCAUACGUUUGAGUCUCUUGAACGCUGGCCAGUGUUUCUCCCACUCCGUGAUGGGGCCUAUCUGCUGUCACCGAUCCUUCGCGUAUAUGUAUAGCCCGCUUGCUUGCUGGCUUUUUUUUCCCUCCCCCUUCUUUCUUUAAAUGCAAAAUACAAACAAUUG
Poecile atricapillus (Black-capped chickadee) is the source of this 2689-nucleotide long non-coding RNA. RefSeq lists it as uncharacterized. The record is from RefSeq and is a predicted model, not a curated record. Lineage: Eukaryota; Metazoa; Chordata; Aves; Passeriformes; Paridae. The transcript is spliced from 4 exons.